RNAcentral lists this ribosomal RNA (80 nucleotides) under uncultured bacterium. RNAcentral describes it as "partial 16S ribosomal RNA". The record is from RNAcentral.
UCACGAAAGUGGGCUGUACUAGAAAUCGUCGUGCCAACCGCAAGGAGGCAGACGCUCAAGGUAUGACUCAUGAUUGGGUG